GCCCUAGUAACGGCGAGUGAAGCGGCAACAGCUCAAAUUUGAAAUCUGGCGUCUUCGGCGUCCGAGUUGUAAUUUGUAGAGGAUGCUUUUGGGCAGCCACCGGUCUAAGUUCCUUGGAACAGGACGUCAUAGAGGGUGAGAAUCCCGUAUGCGACCGGAAGGGCACCCUUCACAUAGCUCCUUCGACGAGUCGAGUUGUUUGGGAAUGCAGCUCUAAAUGGGAGGUAAAUUUCUUCUAAAGCUAAAUACCGGCCAGAGACCGAUAGCGCACAAGUAGAGUGAUCGAAAGAUGAAAAGCACUUUGGAAAGAGAGUUAAAAAGCACGUGAAAUUGUUGAAAGGGAAGCGCUUGCAACCAGACUUGUCUGCGGUGUUCCGCCGGUCUUCUGACCGGUCUACUCACCGUUUGCAGGCCAGCAUCGUUUGGGACCGCUGGAUAAAAGCUUAGGGAACGUGGCUCCUCGGAGUGUUAUAGCCCUAGGUGUAAUACAGCGAGUCUCGAGCGAGGUCCGCGCUUCGGCUAGGAUGCUGGCGUAAUGGUUGUAAGCGGCCCGUCUUGAAACACGGACCAAGGAGUCUAACAUCUAUGCGAGUGUUCGGGUGUAAAACCCCUACGCGUAAUGAAAGUGAACGGAGGUGGGG
Molecule: ribosomal RNA, 641 nt
Filed under: Readeriella sp.
Lineage: Eukaryota; Fungi; Ascomycota; Dothideomycetes; Mycosphaerellales; Mycosphaerellaceae
Description: partial large subunit ribosomal RNA
Rfam family: Eukaryotic large subunit ribosomal RNA
Source: RNAcentral